This 29-nucleotide small RNA is filed under the name Bombyx mori (domestic silkworm). RNAcentral describes it as "ovarian small RNA-26126". Lineage: Eukaryota; Metazoa; Arthropoda; Insecta; Lepidoptera; Bombycidae. The record is from RNAcentral.
UCAUCGUCAUCGAAAGCCUGUGGUUGGCC